RNAcentral lists this ribosomal RNA (429 nucleotides) under Actinomycetes bacterium. Its description in RNAcentral is "Actinobacteria bacterium partial 16S ribosomal RNA". It matches the Rfam family "Bacterial small subunit ribosomal RNA", at positions 355 to 776 of the family's 1533-position model. Lineage: Bacteria; Bacillati; Actinomycetota; Actinomycetes. The record is from RNAcentral.
UAGGGAAUCUUCCGCAAUGGGCGAAAGCCUGACGGAGCAACGCCGCGUGAGUGAUGAAGGUCUUCGGAUCGUAAAACUCUGUUAUUAGGGAAGAACAAAUGUGUAAGUAACUAUGCACGUCUUGACGGUACCUAAUCAGAAAGCCACGGCUAACUACGUGCCAGCAGCCGCGGUAAUACGUAGGUGGCAAGCGUUAUCCGGAAUUAUUGGGCGUAAAGCGCGCGUAGGCGGUUUUUUAAGUCUGAUGUGAAAGCCCACGGCUCAACCGUGGAGGGUCAUUGGAAACUGGAAAACUUGAGUGCAGAAGAGGAAAGUGGAAUUCCAUGUGUAGCGGUGAAAUGCGCAGAGAUAUGGAGGAACACCAGUGGCGAAAGCGACUUUCUGGUCUGUACCAGACGAUGAUGUGCGAAAGCGUGUCGAUCAAACAGG